GACCUCGGUUCAGGUAGGGAUACCCGCUGAACUUAAGCAUAU
Molecule: ribosomal RNA, 42 nt
Filed under: Tuber rufum var. apiculatum
Lineage: Eukaryota; Fungi; Ascomycota; Pezizomycetes; Pezizales; Tuberaceae
Description: partial 28S ribosomal RNA
Source: RNAcentral